CCUACGGGAGGCAGCAGUAAGGAAUCUUCCACAAUGGACGAAAGUCUGAUGGAGCAACGCCGCGUGCAGGAUGAAGGCUUUCGGGUCGUAAACUGCUUUUAUAUGGGAAGAUUAUGACGGUACCAUAUGAAUAAGGACCGGCUAACUACGUGCCAGCAGCCGCGGUAAUACGUAGGGUCCAAGCGAUAUCCGGAAUUACUGGGCGUAAAGCGUGUGUAGGUGGAUUAAUAAGUGUGAUGCGAAAUCCGGCGGCUCAACCGUUUGGACUGUGUCGCAUACUGUUAGUCUAGAGGACGGCAGAGGUAAGUGGAAUUACGGGUGUAGCAGUGAAAUGCGUAGAUAUCCGUAGGAACACCAAUGGCGAAGGCAGCUUACUGGGCCACACCUGACACUGAGACACGAAAGCGUGGGGAGCGAACAGGAUUAGAUACCUGGUAGUCCACGCCGUAAACGAUGCAUACUAUUAGUAUGGGGUAUCGACCCCUGUGCUGAGAAGCUAACGCGAUAAGUAUGCCGCCUGGGAGUACGAGCGCAGCUAAAACUCAAAGAAUUGAGG
Molecule: ribosomal RNA, 556 nt
Filed under: uncultured bacterium
Lineage: Bacteria
Description: bacterial SSU rRNA
Rfam family: Bacterial small subunit ribosomal RNA
Source: RNAcentral